UAAAAAUAGUUAUCAUCUGGAAGAGGAGAAAGAUUAGUUUUCUUUCUUUCCUUUCUCCCUUCCUUUCUCUUUCUUUCUCUCUCCUCAUUUCUCUCUCCUCAUUUCUCCCUUUCUCCCUUUCUUUCUUCUUUCCUUCCUUCCUUUUUCUCUUUCUUUCCUUCUCCCUUCCUUUCUCUCUCUUCAUUUCUCCCUUUCUUCCUUCUUUCUUUCCUUCCUUUUUCUCUUUAUUUCCUUCUCCCUUUCCAUCUCUCUCCCUUUCUUUCUCUUUCUUCCUUCUUUCCUUCCUUUUUCUCUUUCUUUCCUUCUUUCUUCCUUUCUCUCUCAUUUCUCCCUUUCUCUCUCUUUCUUCCUUCCUUUUUCUCUCCUUCUCCCUUUCCUUCUCUUCCUUUCUCCCUUUCUCCCUUUUUCCUUCCUUUUCUCUUUCUUUCCUUCUCGAUUCCUGUCUCUCUCUUCAUUUCUCCCUUUCUCUAUUUCUUCCUUCUUUCCUUCCUUUUUCUUUCUUUCCUUCUCUCUUCCUUUCUCUUCCUUCCUUCCUUCCUUCCUUUCUUCCUUCCUUUCUUCCUUCCUUCCUUCCUUCCUUCCUUCCUUCCUUCCUUCCUUCCUUCCUUCCUUCCUUCCUUCCUUCCUUCCUUCCUUUCUUCCUUCCUUCCUUCCUUCCUUCCUUUCUUUCUUUCUUUCUUUCUUUCUUUCUUUCUUUCUUUCUUUCUUUCUUUCUUUCUUUCUUUCUUUCUUUCUUUCUUUCUUUCUUUCUUUCUUUCUUUCUUUCUUUCUUUCUUUCUUUCUUUCUUUCUUUCUUUCUUUCUUUCUUUCUUUCUUUCUUUCUUUCUUUCUUUCUUUCUUUCUUUCUUUCUUUCUUUCUUUCUUUCUUUCUUUCUCUAGUAGGUGCAGUCAGGUUAUGCCUUAGUGUUCAGAAUACUGGGCCUGGAAUAAGGAAAACUUCUCUUCCUGAGUUCAAAUCCAACCUCAAACACUUAAUAGUUAUAUAA
Molecule: long non-coding RNA, 986 nt
Filed under: Monodelphis domestica (gray short-tailed opossum)
Lineage: Eukaryota; Metazoa; Chordata; Mammalia; Didelphimorphia; Didelphidae
Description: lncRNA (ENSMODG00000037881.1)
Source: RNAcentral